UGCACAAUAGCUCAGUGGUAAGAGCACCACAGUGUGUUAUGGGAGGUUGCUGGUUCAAUUCCAGCUGUGCCA
Molecule: transfer RNA, 72 nt
Filed under: Neolentinus lepideus HHB14362 ss-1
Lineage: Eukaryota; Fungi; Basidiomycota; Agaricomycetes; Gloeophyllales; Gloeophyllaceae
Rfam family: tRNA
About the family: Transfer RNA (tRNA) molecules are approximately 80 nucleotides in length.
Source: Rfam by way of RNAcentral